GGUAAUGCCGAACUGAUACUCUUCCUUGGGCUUUGGGCUGAUGGGCCGUCACUGCUGUUGGGCUUGUUUAGUCCGUACCCCAUCACUGAGCAUGCUCGUAUUCGACCUCUUGUAACUCUCACAGUGUGGAAAGAGCUGCUGAAAGAGAACAAGGACUUUUUCCAAGCAUACUUCCAAUCUCUAUCUCUUAGGCCAUACUCAAAUACAGAUAUGUUCAAAGGGCACCAUGAUUUGGAAGAAGAAACCAGCGCAAAUACAUAACUAUAAGAAGAUGAAAGAAUUCUAUAAGGGAAUACAUGUAGCAGCAUUGGAGUGCUGCAUUAGUUAGAACCUCCUAAAUCCAUAAUUAUCUUAUCCCCAAUACUUUUACAGUACUUUUUUUUUGGAUGAAUCAAACUUGCACUAUAGUUAUUAUUUUGUUUGAUAUUGUUGUAUCAAGAAGUGUGUAUGUGAAAAAAAAUAUCUUAUGAAAGCAAU
Molecule: long non-coding RNA, 477 nt
Organism: Salvia splendens (bonfire salvia)
Lineage: Eukaryota; Viridiplantae; Streptophyta; Magnoliopsida; Lamiales; Lamiaceae
Exons: 3
Source: RefSeq, a predicted model, not a curated record